RNAcentral lists this ribosomal RNA (581 nucleotides) under uncultured bacterium. RNAcentral describes it as "partial 16S ribosomal RNA". It matches the Rfam family "Bacterial small subunit ribosomal RNA", at positions 355 to 1376 of the family's 1533-position model. The record is from RNAcentral.
UGAGGAAUAUUGGGCAAUGGUCGGAAGACUGACCCAGCCAUGCCGCGUGCAGGAAGACGGCCCUAUGGGUUGUAAACUGCUUUUGUACGGGAAGAAACCCUCCUACGUGUAGGAGCUUGACGGUACCGUAAGAAUAAGCAUCGGCUAACUCCGUGCCAGCAGCCGCGGUAAUACGGAGGAUGCGAGCGUUAUCCGGAAUCAUUGGGUUUAAAGGGUCCGUAGGCGGUCUUAUAAGUCAGUGGUGAAAUCUCCUAGCUCAACUAGGAAACUGCCAUUGAUACUGUAGGACUUGAAUUUUUGUGAAGUAACUAGAAUAUGUAGUGUAGCGGUGAAAUGCUCAGAUAUUACAUGGAAUACCAAUUGCGAAGGCAGGUUACUAACAAAACGAUUGACGCUGAUGGACGAAAAGCGUGGGGAGCGAACAGGAUUAGAUACCCUGGUAGUCCACGCCGUAAAACGAUGGAUACUAGCUGUUUGACGCAAGUUGAGUGGCUAAAGCGAAAGUGAUAAGUAUCCCACCUGGGGAGUACGCACGCAAGUGUGAAACUCAAAGGAAUUGACGGGGUCAUAGCUGUUUCCUG